This 252-nucleotide ribosomal RNA is filed under the name uncultured bacterium. RNAcentral's name for it is "partial 16S ribosomal RNA". It matches the Rfam family "Bacterial small subunit ribosomal RNA", at positions 524 to 776 of the family's 1533-position model. The record is from RNAcentral.
UACGUAGGGUGCAAGCGUUGUCCGGAAUUAUUGGGCGUAAAGAGCUCGUAGGCGGCUUGUCGCGUCGCUGUGAAAACCUGGGGCUCAACCCCGGGCCUGCAGCCGAUACGGGCAAGCUAGAAUUCGGUAGGGGAGACUGGAAUUCCUGGUGUAGCGGUGAAAUGCGCAGAUAUCAGGAGGAACACCGGUGGCGAAGGCGGCCUGCUGGGCAGUUGCUGACACUGAGGCGCGACAGCGUGGGGAGCAAACAGG